This 27-nucleotide microRNA is filed under the name Ananas comosus (pineapple). RNAcentral describes it as "microRNA s1692_c111b". Lineage: Eukaryota; Viridiplantae; Streptophyta; Magnoliopsida; Poales; Bromeliaceae. The record is from RNAcentral.
AAGCAGAUCUGCGUUAAGAUAGAUAAA